Molecule: ribosomal RNA, 253 nt
Filed under: uncultured bacterium
Lineage: Bacteria
Description: partial 16S ribosomal RNA
Rfam family: Bacterial small subunit ribosomal RNA
Source: RNAcentral
UACGUAGGGGGCUAGCGUUGUCCGGAAUCAUUGGGCGUAAAGCGCGUGUAGGCGGCCAGGUAGGUCUGCUGUGAAAACUCGAGGCUCAACCUCGAGACGUCGGCGGAAACCAUCUGGCUAGAGUCCGGAAGAGGAGAGUGGAAUUCCUGGUGUAGCGGUGAAAUGCGCAGAUAUCAGGAAGAACACCCGUGGCGAAGGCGGCUCUCUGGGACGGUACUGACGCUGAGACGCGAAAGCGUGGGGAGCGAACAGG